AAAGAAAUUAGCAGGUUACCACUCAAAAGAUGAAGUUGAAAAGAAUGUAGUUGAAGCCUCUAAAGAACUUGCCUUCAGUCACGUCAAACUCGGGACUGAAGAAGAGCAUGGGAAGAAAAAGAAGAGAAAGUUUUCCAAGUUGGAGGAGCUUGAACGAGCUAAAAAAUUAGAAGAGGCAAAGAAGGAUCCUGAGAAGGGUGAAACAAUCGCAAAGAAGCAUUCUUGGCAAGCAGCAACGA
RNAcentral lists this unclassified non-coding RNA (239 nucleotides) under Hevea brasiliensis (rubber tree). The record is from RNAcentral. Lineage: Eukaryota; Viridiplantae; Streptophyta; Magnoliopsida; Malpighiales; Euphorbiaceae.